AUUGAACGCUGGCGGCAUGCUUUACACAUGCAAGUCGAACGGUAACAGGCCUUCGGGUGCUGACGAGUGGCGAACGGGUGAGUAAUGCAUCGGAACGUGCCCAAUCGUGGGGGAUAACGUAGCGAAAGUUACGCUAAUACCGCAUAAGCCCUGAGGGGGAAAGUGGGGGACCGCAAGGCCUCACGCGAAUGGAGCGGCCGAUGUCAGAUUAGCUAGUUGGUGAGGUAACGGCUCACCAAGGCUACGAUGUCUAGGGGGUCUGAGAGGACGAUCCCCCACACUGGUACUGAGACACGGACCAGACUCCUACGGGAGGCAGCAGUAAGGAAUAUUGGACAAUGGCCGCAAGGCUGAUCCAGCCAUGCCGCGUGCAGGAUGAAGGUGCUCUGCAUUGUAAACUGCUUUUGUUCGGGAAUAAACCCUUUCACGUGUGAGAGGUUGAAUGUACCGAAAGAAUAAGGGACGGCUAACUUCGUGCCAGCAGCCGCGGU
RNAcentral lists this ribosomal RNA (491 nucleotides) under uncultured bacterium. Its description in RNAcentral is "bacterial SSU rRNA". It matches the Rfam family "Bacterial small subunit ribosomal RNA", at positions 30 to 521 of the family's 1533-position model. The record is from RNAcentral.